RNAcentral lists this long non-coding RNA (563 nucleotides) under Mus pahari (shrew mouse). Its description in RNAcentral is "lncRNA (MGP_PahariEiJ_G0004907.1)". The record is from RNAcentral. Lineage: Eukaryota; Metazoa; Chordata; Mammalia; Rodentia; Muridae.
GUCAGCCAUUAACUGUGCGGGGAGUCCCAGCUGGAGCCUUAGCCUGGCUUAGACAUGUCCGAGCAAGCCUGAAGAACUGCAAUGUGGAUUUGCUAGCAACCUAUGUGUGCCUGAGAUAGUAGAGCCUCCUGGGAAGGAUGAAAGAAUCAGGCGCAACCUCCGUAACUAGAUGUUGCUUGUAUCAAGAAAGGAGCAACUGAACACUGUUUGACUAAGGAAACAGGCUUAAGGAGCGUGAGUAACUCGCCCAAGGCCAUGUAACUACCUCAGCAGCAAGGCUGGGCUCUGGCCUCAGCAUCCACCCUGUGCCUCGCCGUCGUCGGCUUCGGGAAGUACUGAAGUCCAAGCUGCCACAGGGGUUGGGGGAGAAUAAACAAACCAGGCUAAAUCCCAGUUCUUCAGGAUUUUUUUCUUGCUACUUGAAAAGAAGGCCUGAUGCGAGAUGAAGUAGAAGGCCAUUCGUCUGUCAGUGCUGAAGCAGGGAAGUCCAGGGGAAAGCCGAUGGUAAAUGUGACAGUCACUUCAGACUCGAAGGCAAAAAUACAGUCAUGGGUGAGAAAAUC